Molecule: ribosomal RNA, 369 nt
Filed under: Triticum aestivum (bread wheat)
Lineage: Eukaryota; Viridiplantae; Streptophyta; Magnoliopsida; Poales; Poaceae
Description: partial small subunit ribosomal RNA
Source: RNAcentral
AUGAUUAGAGCUCAAGUGUUUGAGGAACAUUUGCAAAGUGAAACUGACGAUCCUUUCUUAAAUAAUCUGCGAAUAGUUGAUGUUCGUCAUGGGAAGGUACUAUUGUUGUGCACACAAGGUAGGAUUCUAGCUAUCUGGGAUCCUAUGAAUGGAGAAACAACAUUGACACAAGAACCAGAGAAUGAAAUGAAUAGCCAGGCUAGUAUAUUGUGUGCUGCCAACAUGAUCACAAUGGUGGAUGCAAUAAUUGUCCUAUCAAAAUCAUUUGGAUUAGCGCAGGAAGAAAUCCAACCAAGGUGUACACCUUUUCUUAUGCUACUGCUGAGUGGCAAUGUGCUGUGUGUGUUCAUCCUUAUUUGUCAUAUGUAG